RNAcentral lists this unclassified non-coding RNA (339 nucleotides) under soil metagenome. RNAcentral's name for it is "partial contains 5.8S ribosomal RNA, internal transcribed spacer 2, and large subunit ribosomal RNA". The stretch from base 1 to 120 matches the Rfam family "5.8S ribosomal RNA", at positions 35 to 154 of the family's 154-position model. The record is from RNAcentral.
GAUGAAGAACGUAGCGAAAUGCAAUAAGUAGUGUGAAUUGCAGAAUUCAGUGAAUCAUCGAAUCUUUGAACGCACAUUGCGCCCUUUGGUAUUCCUUAGGGCAUGCCUGUUCGAGCGUCAUUUAAACCUUCAAGCUCAGCUUGGUGUUGGGUGACUGUCCGCCGCCUCCGGGCGGUCGGACUCGCCUCAAAUUGAUUGGCGGCCGGUACUUUGGCUUCGAGCGCAGCAGAAACGCGAACUCGAGGCCGUCGUCCUGGCUCCCAGAAGCUAUCUUCACAAUUUUGACCUCGGAUCAGGUAGGGAUACCCGCUGAACUUAAGCAUAUCAAUAAGCGGAGGA